GACGAACGCUGGCGGCGUGCCUAAUACAUGCAAGUAGAACGCUGAAGGAGGAGCUUGCUCUUCUGGAUGAGUUGCGAACGGGUGAGUAACGCGUAGGUAACCUGCCUGGUAGCGGGGGAUAACUAUUGGAAACGAUAGCUAAUACCGCAUAACAGUAGAUGUUGCAUGACAUUUGCUUAAAAGGUGCAAUUGCAUCACUACCAGAUGGACCUGCGUUGUAUUAGCUAGUUGGUGGGGCAACGGCUCACCAAGGCGACGAUACAUAGCCGACCUGAGAGGGUGAUCGGCCACACUGGGACUGAGACACGGCCCAGACUCCUACGGGAGGCAGCAGUAGGGAAUCUUCGGCAAUGGACGGAAGUCUGACCGAGCAACGCCGCGUGAGUGAAGAAGGUUUUCGGAUCGUAAAGCUCUGUUGUAAGAGAAGAACGAGUGUGAGAGUGGAAAGUUCACACUGUGACGGUAUCUUACCAGAAAGGGACGGCUAACUACGUGCCAGCAGCCGCGGUAAUACGUAGGUCCCGAGCGUUGUCCGGAUUUAUUGGGCGUAAAGCGAGCGCAGGCGGUUAGAUAAGUCUGAAGUUAAAGGCUGUGGCUUAACCAUAGUACGCUUUGGAAACUGUUUAACUUGAGUGCUAUAGGGGAGAGUGGAAUUCCAUGUGUAGCGGUGAAUGCGUAGAUAUAUGGAGGAACACCGGUGGCGAAAGCGGCUCUCUUGGCUUGUAACUGAGUCUGAGGCUCGUAAUCGUGUGGUAGCAAACAGG
This 764-nucleotide ribosomal RNA is filed under the name uncultured Streptococcus sp. Its description in RNAcentral is "bacterial SSU rRNA". It matches the Rfam family "Bacterial small subunit ribosomal RNA", at positions 28 to 776 of the family's 1533-position model. The record is from RNAcentral. Lineage: Bacteria; Bacillati; Bacillota; Bacilli; Lactobacillales; Streptococcaceae.